AUACGUAGGUGACAAGCGUUAUCCGGAUUUACUGGGCGUAAAGGGCGUGUAGGCGGUCUUGCAAGUCAGAAGUGAAAUUCCUGAGCUCAACUCGGGCGCUGCUUCUGAAACUGCAGGACUUGAGUGCUGGAGGGGAUAGCGGAAUUCCUAGUGGAGCGGUAAAAUGCGCAGAUAUUAGGAAGAACACCGGUGGCGAAGGCGGCUAUCUGGACAGUAACUGACGCUGAGGCGCGAAAGCGUGGGGAGCAAACAGGAUUAGAUACCCUGGUAUUCCACGCCGUAAACGAUGAAUACUAGGUGUAGGGGGUAUCGACCCCCUCUGUGCCGACGUUAACACAUUAAGUAUUCCACCUGGGGAGUACGGCCGCAAGGCUGAAACUCAAAUGAAUUGACGGGG
This 397-nucleotide ribosomal RNA is filed under the name uncultured bacterium. RNAcentral describes it as "partial 16S ribosomal RNA". It matches the Rfam family "Bacterial small subunit ribosomal RNA", at positions 523 to 918 of the family's 1533-position model. The record is from RNAcentral.